RNAcentral lists this ribosomal RNA (1077 nucleotides) under Enterococcus faecium. RNAcentral's name for it is "bacterial SSU rRNA". It matches the Rfam family "Bacterial small subunit ribosomal RNA", at positions 162 to 1226 of the family's 1533-position model. The record is from RNAcentral. Lineage: Bacteria; Bacillati; Bacillota; Bacilli; Lactobacillales; Enterococcaceae.
GCUAAUACCGUAUAACAAUCAAAACCGCAUGGUUUUGAUUUGAAAGGCGCUUUCGGGUGUCGCUGAUGGAUGGACCCGCGGUGCAUUAGCUAGUUGGUGAGGUAACGGCUCACCAAGGCCACGAUGCAUAGCCGACCUGAGAGGGUGAUCGGCCACAUUGGGACUGAGACACGGCCCAAACUCCUACGGGAGGCAGCAGUAGGGAAUCUUCGGCAAUGGACGAAAGUCUGACCGAGCAACGCCGCGUGAGUGAAGAAGGUUUUCGGAUCGUAAAACUCUGUUGUUAGAGAAGAACAAGGAUGAGAGUAACUGUUCAUCCCUUGACGGUAUCUAACCAGAAAGCCACGGCUAACUACGUGCCAGCAGCCGCGGUAAUACGUAGGUGGCAAGCGUUGUCCGGAUUUAUUGGGCGUAAAGCGAGCGCAGGCGGUUUCUUAAGUCUGAUGUGAAAGCCCCCGGCUCAACCGGGGAGGGUCAUUGGAAACUGGGAGACUUGAGUGCAGAAGAGGAGAGUGGAAUUCCAUGUGUAGCGGUGAAAUGCGUAGAUAUAUGGAGGAACACCAGUGGCGAAGGCGGCUCUCUGGUCUGUAACUGACGCUGAGGCUCGAAAGCGUGGGGAGCAAACAGGAUUAGAUACCCUGGUAGUCCACGCCGUAAACGAUGAGUGCUAAGUGUUGGAGGGUUUCCGCCCUUCAGUGCUGCAGCUAACGCAUUAAGCACUCCGCCUGGGGAGUACGACCGCAAGGUUGAAACUCAAAGGAAUUGACGGGGGCCCGCACAAGCGGUGGAGCAUGUGGUUUAAUUCGAAGCAACGCGAAGAACCUUACCAGGUCUUGACAUCCUUUGACCACUCUAGAGAUAGAGCUUCCCCUUCGGGGGCAAAGUGACAGGUGGUGCAUGGUUGUCGUCAGCUCGUGUCGUGAGAUGUUGGGUUAAGUCCCGCAACGAGCGCAACCCUUAUUGUUAGUUGCCAUCAUUCAGUUGGGCACUCUAGCAAGACUGCCGGUGACAAACCGGAGGAAGGUGGGGAUGACGUCAAAUCAUCAUGCCCCUUAUGACCUGGGCUACACACGUGCU